RNAcentral lists this ribosomal RNA (253 nucleotides) under uncultured bacterium. RNAcentral describes it as "partial 16S ribosomal RNA". It matches the Rfam family "Bacterial small subunit ribosomal RNA", at positions 524 to 776 of the family's 1533-position model. The record is from RNAcentral.
UACGUUGGGGGCAAGCGUUGUCCGGAUUUAUUGGGCGUAAAGAGCUCGUAGGUGGUUUGUCGCGUUGUUCGUGAAAACUCACAGCUCAACUGUGGGCGUGCGGGCGAUACGGGCAGACUGGAGUACUGCAGGGGAGACUGGAAUUCCUGGUGUAGCGGUGGAAUGCGCAGAUAUCAGGAGGAACACCGGUGGCGAAGGCGGGUCUCUGGGCAGUAACUGACGCUGAGGAGCGAAAGCGUGGGGAGCAAACAGG